CUGAUAUCCCUGCAGAUUCAGCAAUCCUUUGUUCAUCCAGUGCACAGAUACAGCAUGGGGAGCAGCUUUCGCGCAGCCUUUGCCCCUAUAUGCUUCAUCACAGAGCUGAAGGGAUCACCUCUCUUGGUGUGAAGGCUAGUUCAGUCUCCAUGGCCUAUUGAAUCCUUAGCUUCA
RNAcentral lists this small RNA (174 nucleotides) under Gopherus agassizii (Agassiz's desert tortoise). Its description in RNAcentral is "TUC338 (ENSGAGG00000008703.1)". Lineage: Eukaryota; Metazoa; Chordata; Testudines; Testudinidae. The record is from RNAcentral.